AACCGGAGCUAAUACCGGAUAAUAUUUCGAACCGCAUGGUUCGAUAGUGAAAGAUGGUUUUGCUAUCUCUUAUAGAUGGACCCGCGCCGUAUUAGCUAGUUGGUAAGGUAACGGCUUACCAAGGCGACGAUACGUAGCCGACCUGAGAGGGUGAUCGGCCACACUGGAACUGAGACACGGCUCCACACUCCUACGGGAGGCAGCAGUAGGGAAUCUUCCUCAGUGGGCGAAAGCCUGACGGAGCAACGCCGCGUGAGUGAUGAAGGUCUUCGGAUCAUAAAACUCUGUUAUUAGGGAAGAACAUACAUGUAAGUAACUAUGCACGUCGUGACGGUACCUAAUCAGAAAGCCACGGCUAACUACGUGCCAGCAGCCGCGGUAAUACGUAGGUGGCAAGCGUUAUCCGGAAUUAUUGGGUGUAAAGCGCGCGUACGCGGUUUUUUAGUCUGAUGUGAAAGCCACGGCUCACCGUGGAGGGUCAUUGGAAACUGGAAACUUGAGUGCAGAAGAGGAAGUGGAAUCCAUGUGUAGCGGUGAAUGCGCAGAGAUAUGGAGGACACCAGUGGCGAAGGCGACUUUCUGGUCU
Molecule: ribosomal RNA, 586 nt
Filed under: Staphylococcus haemolyticus
Lineage: Bacteria; Bacillati; Bacillota; Bacilli; Caryophanales; Staphylococcaceae
Description: bacterial SSU rRNA
Rfam family: Bacterial small subunit ribosomal RNA
Source: RNAcentral